UAGCAUUUGCUCAAAAUAGAUUUAAUGUUC
Molecule: non-coding RNA, 30 nt
Filed under: Mus musculus (house mouse)
Lineage: Eukaryota; Metazoa; Chordata; Mammalia; Rodentia; Muridae
Source: RNAcentral